This 460-nucleotide ribosomal RNA is filed under the name uncultured bacterium. Its description in RNAcentral is "partial 16S ribosomal RNA". It matches the Rfam family "Bacterial small subunit ribosomal RNA", at positions 338 to 795 of the family's 1533-position model. The record is from RNAcentral.
CCUACGGGUGGCAGCAGUGAGGAAUAUUGGUCAAUGGGCGCGCGCCUGAACCAGCCAAGUCGCGUGAGGGAAGACGGCCCUACGGGUUGUACACCUCUUUUGCCGGGGAGCAACGCGCGUCACGUGUGGCGCCACUGAGAUUACCCGGAGAAAAAGCAUCGGCUAACUCCGUGCCAGCAGCCGCGGUAAUACGGGGGAUGCGAGCGUUAUCCGGAUUUAUUGGGUUUAAAGGGUGCGUAGGCGGAUCGCCAAGUCAGCGGUAAAAUCGAGGGGCUCAACCGCGUCCCGCCAUUGAAACUGGCGCUCUUGAGUGGAAGAGAAGUAUGCGGAAUGCGUGGUGUAGCGGUGAAAUGCAUAGAUAGCACGCAGAACUCCGAUUGCGAAGGCAGCAUGCCGGCUUCCGACUGACGCUGAAGCACGAAAGCGUGGGGAUCGAACAGGAUUAGAUACCCGUGUAGUC